AACGCACAUUGCGCUCCCGGGUAUUCCUGGGAGCACGCCUGUUUGAGAAUCGAUAAAUCCCUCUCGGAGCAAGUCUGUUUCGGACUUUAUUGCCUGGAGCCGACUUGAACUGACGGAUGUGGGUCUCAUUUGGACCGGCGACGGAACAAUGACCUUAAAUUGAAUGUCCACAGCUGUCACUUUCGACCUGGUGAGGUAAAUGCCCUUGAUUGGGCAGGCCCUCGAGCGUGCUAGAAUGUAAAAAACUUUAGUCUCGCUUGUUAAAAGGCUGCUCGCCGCAUGUUUAGGAUUGGCUGUGUGGAACUCAACGAUUUUGCGGGCAGUACUGGGUGCAGUUUGCUCCCUUUCGCCCUAAAACUUGGUCUCAAAUCAGGCGGGAAAACCCGCUGAACUUAA
Molecule: unclassified non-coding RNA, 396 nt
Filed under: uncultured soil eukaryote
Lineage: Eukaryota
Description: sequence contains 5.8S rRNA gene, ITS2, 28S rRNA gene
Source: RNAcentral